GUGAUACCCAUAUCCUUUGAAGCAAAAGGGAUGCGUGUGAGUAUGAGGUGUGUGUGUGUGUGUGUGUGAAUGUGUAUGUAGGUAGAGGAGAUGACAUAGGGAAAGAGAGAAGGAAUGAAGAAGAGGGGAUGGGAAUGUGACAAGCUUUUUGGUCGAGGUUCAAUAAGCAUCAGAAAAUAAAAGCAUUGUGGGUAGAGAUGAGAGUAACAGAACAGUCCCGGGGCUUACACCUUGGAACAAGUAGGGUAAUGCUGCCCUUUGAUCUCUAUCACCUCUCACCAAUUUCGUGCACCCUUUCUGUUUCAGGAGGGUAUACAGCAAAGCUGAGAGAAAGAGAGAAUGAGCAAGUGAUAUGUCAAAGAGCCAAAUAUGAUUUUGGAUUUGAUGACCAGUGUCCUUUGAGUGGAAAUCACUAUGUUAACUCGGACCUGGAAGAAUUUAGAAUGCCUUGUUGAUCUGAAUGUCUUCAUCACUGCAUUCGGCGGGCUUUUUUUUUUUUUAAGCUUGCUAUACACUUGACUUCUAGAAUUUGCAACUUGUAAAACAUGGCAACAAUUUGCAUGUGCUUGGAGUUGCUUAUUUCCUCCCAAUAGGUAUGGUCUCUUAAAACUAUUUCUAAUAGUAGAAGAUGAGUAAUUUGCUAAUAAUCUAUGAUAAAUCUUUAUGUUCAGGAUGAAAGAAAUGUUUAAUUAGAAAAU
RNAcentral lists this long non-coding RNA (698 nucleotides) under Rhinopithecus bieti (black snub-nosed monkey). RNAcentral's name for it is "lncRNA (ENSRBIG00000046677.1)". Lineage: Eukaryota; Metazoa; Chordata; Mammalia; Primates; Cercopithecidae. The record is from RNAcentral.